RNAcentral lists this ribosomal RNA (1371 nucleotides) under uncultured bacterium. RNAcentral describes it as "bacterial SSU rRNA". It matches the Rfam family "Bacterial small subunit ribosomal RNA", at positions 28 to 1381 of the family's 1533-position model. The record is from RNAcentral.
GACGAACGCUGGCGGCGUGCCUAAUACAUGCAAGUAGAACGCUGAAGAGAGGAGCUUGCUCUUCUUGGAUGAGUUGCGAACGGGUGAGUAACGCGUAGGUAACCUGCCUUGUAGCGGGGGAUAACUAUUGGAAACGAUAGCUAAUACCGCAUAACAAUGGAUGACACAUGUCAUUUAUUUGAAAGGGGCAAUUGCUCCACUACAAGAUGGACCUGCGUUGUAUUAGCUAGUAGGUGAGGUAACGGCUCACCUAGGCGACGAUACAUAGCCGACCUGAGAGGGUGAUCGGCCACACUGGGACUGAGACACGGCCCAGACUCCUACGGGAGGCAGCAGUAGGGAAUCUUCGGCAAUGGGGGCAACCCUGACCGAGCAACGCCGCGUGAGUGAAGAAGGUUUUCGGAUCGUAAAGCUCUGUUGUAAGUCAAGAACGAGUGUGAGAGUGGAAAGUUCACACUGUGACGGUAGCUUACCAGAAAGGGACGGCUAACUACGUGCCAGCAGCCGCGGUAAUACGUAGGUCCCGAGCGUUGUCCGGAUUUAUUGGGCGUAAAGCGAGCGCAGGCGGUUUGAUAAGUCUGAAGUUAAAGGCUGUGGCUCAACCAUAGUUCGCUUUGGAAACUGUCAAACUUGAGUGCAGAAGGGGAGAGUGGAAUUCCAUGUGUAGCGGUGAAAUGCGUAGAUAUAUGGAGGAACACCGGUGGCGAAAGCGGCUCUCUGGUCUGUAACUGACGCUGAGGCUCGAAAGCGUGGGGAGCGAACAGGAUUAGAUACCCUGGUAGUCCACGCCGUAAACGAUGAGUGCUAGGUGUUGGAUCCUUUCCGGGAUUCAGUGCCGCAGCUAACGCAUUAAGCACUCCGCCUGGGGAGUACGACCGCAAGGUUGAAACUCAAAGGAAUUGACGGGGGCCCGCACAGGCGGUGGAGCAUGUGGUUUAAUUCGAAGCAACGCGAAGAACCUUACCAGGUCUUGACAUCCCGAUGCUAUUUCUAGAGAUAGAAAGUUACUUCGGUACAUCGGUGACAGGUGGUGCAUGGUUGUCGUCAGCUCGUGUCGUGAGAUGUUGGGUUAAGUCCCGCAACGAGCGCAACCCCUAUUGUUAGUUGCCAUCAUUCAGUUGGGCACUCUAGCGAGACUGCCGGUAAUAAACCGGAGGAAGGUGGGGAUGACGUCAAAUCAUCAUGCCCCUUAUGACCUGGGCUACACACGUGCUACAAUGGUUGGUACAACGAGUUGCGAGUCGGUGACGGCAAGCUAAUCUCUUAAAGCCAAUCUCAGUUCGGAUUGUAGGCUGCAAACUCGCCUACAUGAAAGUCGGAAUCGCUAGUAAUCGCGGAUCAGCACGCCGCGGUGAAUACGUUCCCGGGCCU